AGCAGGCCCCACGCUCAGCGUGGGACUUGAUCCCAUGACGCUGGAAUCAUGACCUAGACUGAGCCACCCAGGUGCCCCCACUCUUUACAAUCAAGUUAGAAGUCCUGUUUUCUUCAGAGUCGUUUGCAUGUUACAAUUUUUACGUGAGUGUCCUCUCAUUGUUUCGUAAGUCAUAACUACAUAAGGCACCGAGCUUGGCACUUCCACAAAUAUGGUCUUAUUUAAGCCUCAUGACACCCCGGGGAAGUAGGUAGUAUUAUCCCCAGUUUGUCAAAGUUUCUUUAUUGAAGCACAAUAGACAUGUAACAGACUGGAAAUGUGAAGGUGUGCAGUUUGAUAUGUCUUAACCUACGUAUACCCCUGGGAAACCAUGUACAAUCAAGAUAGCGGACAUUUCCGUCCCCCAGAGAAGUUUCCUCACGUUCCCUUAUAAUCCCUCCCUCUGUCUCUCCUUGCCCUUGCUCUAUCCCAAGCGACCAUCACCUGCCUUCUGUCACUAUUGAUUAGUUUACAUUUUCUAGAGUUUUCUAUCAACGGAAUCGUGUAAGAGGUGGUCUUUUGUGUCUGUCUGGCUUAUUUCAAUUAGCAUCACGUUUUCAAAGUUCCUUCAUGUUGUAGCACACGUCAGUAUUUCAUCCUGUCUUACUGCAGAAUAAGAUUCCGUUGUAUGGAUGUCGAUGAGCAUUUGGGCUGUUUCCGCUUCUUAGCGAUCAUAAAUAAAUUAAUGUCGCCGUCAACUCUAACGUCCAUGUUUUUGUGUGGACAUACGUUUUCAUUUCUGUUGCGCACGUAUUCGGGAGUGGGAUUUCUGGCUUAUUCGGUCACUUUGGGGGAACUGCCGGAUUGUUUGCUAAUGUGGCCGCCAAAUGCUUCAUUCCCCGCAGAGCGUUUAAAUAUAUGAAUAAACGGAUUUAGAGAAUGUCAAGGACUUGCUUAAGGCCACACCACUUGGCGUCUGUCGUUUCAAAACUCCAGGCAAGGCGACGCUAAGCUCCUUCAGGAUGAUGUUUCUCAGACUUACUUUCUCCCACGGACGGGCUCUGAACCAGGCUGCUUAGAUCAAAACCACUUGCUGGUUCGUAGCACGAAGAAAGAUUCUUAAUCUCUGCCCUUCAACUUCUCACGUGUAAAAACGGAGCUGAUGAUAACGGAAGCUACCUCAUAGGAUUGUUUGGUGAUGCAAUAAAUUAAUGGCUAUAAAUUACUUGGCUCAAUCCUGGAACGCACAGGGUUCCAGAAAGACUGGUUGUUAUUAUUAGCACCGUUUAUUAUUAUUACUGCUGUUGCUACAAUUUGCACCCAGAACAGCUCAUAAUAGAGGCAAAAAUCAACCCUCCCAGGUAAUCGCACCAACGGGCUGCUCUACAAUAUAUGAAUUGACGUCUGGCUUCAGGAGGAAUACUCGAUUCACGUCUCAAAAUAAUGUGGCGCCGUGUGUACAGAAAUGAAUGAAGGGCUUUCCUACUUUGGGGACUCAGUCUAACGUGCUGGGUCUUCCCCUUUUGGAGGUCGGAGCGUUGGCCGACGGUGACCGACCCUUGCGUGCACAAGGCCCUUUGCAACAUUCCAGUUACGGCGGGUCUUCUCGAGGCGGGCCUCGGAAGUCACCGUUAGCGCCCACCUCAUCUACGACAGGCCUUCUGCCAGGCACCGUGCAUCCAGGGGCUCGUUCAAUCCUCAUAAUCACCCGAACGCGGAGAAAACCGAAGUUCGCAGAACGAAGUGUCUUUCUCAAGGUCACUUAGUACGCAUGAUACUUGCACUGUUUCCAGGGCCAUUUCUCCUGUGCCUCCUUUGCCAGUGCCUGUUAACUAUCAAUUUAAGCACCCUUAAAGGUGAAAUUGCUUCAAAACCCCUUCCACGGUUUGACAGCCUACAUUCAAGCCUUUUAGCAUAAUUGGGGAAGUCAGUGGGCGGGUGAUUCUAGCUUGCUGUAGUAGAAGCCAGUAAGCCAUCUACUUAUCAUUCUGUUGGCGAAGUUUCUCUGCUUUCUUUCCUCUCGAUAACACAGCAGGAUGUCAUUUGCAAGGAUGCCAAUCCCAACACGGUUCCUGCACCUAACUUGCGACAUCAGUUACUGACUGGUUGUGAGAAACACCCCCGUUGUAUAAAUGAGCCCCUCCCCUUCGACACCUAAAUUGUCUUCGUGCCUGUUCUACACGUCGGAGGGCGAAGAGAGGGCUUUCCAAUUUCACACCCCUAAUCCAAUUUACCAGACACGGCGGUUCCUGAGUUUGAAAGCGGAAGAGGAAGGACUCCACCGCUGUCCAGGGUGGACCUGCAAUCCUGUCGCGUGCCACAGAGAUCCCAUUUUCAGGACCAGCCAUCCUCCUUCCUCUGCACACACACGGAAAGUAGAAGGGGUAAUUAUCCCCCAGGAGCACCUUAAUUGUUCCAAUUAACCUGACCACUUUUUGCAAUCAAAGCCAGGCGGAGAAGAGGAAUUAAAGUGAUCAAACACCGUUUUAUGGGCCGUGGGCAAGCCUGGCUUGGAACCCCCGUUCUAAAACUAACGCGCACUCCAGUACUGGACGAGCAAGGAAACGCUGCGGAACCUCACCAUCCCGAGCUACGAGGUGGGCACUGGCCCCACAUUCUAGACGAUGGAAGUGACUCUUCAGUGAACUGAAGUUACCUUCCCGCGUUCACGUUUGAGCUUGUUUCAGGUGUACAAUAUGGUGAUUCAACAAUUCCGUACAUUCCUCAGCGCUCAUCAGGGUAAGUGUUCUGUCAAUCCCCCUUGUCUGUUUCACUCAUCCCUCCUCCC
This is a long non-coding RNA of Felis catus (domestic cat), 2767 nucleotides long. RefSeq lists it as uncharacterized. The record is from RefSeq and is a predicted model, not a curated record. NCBI's taxonomy places the organism in Eukaryota, Metazoa, Chordata, Mammalia, Carnivora, Felidae. The transcript is spliced from 4 exons.